GGCGAGGCGGCCGCGCCAACCUCUACCUGAGAGCUCUCCGCCCUGCUCCACUGGCAGCGCCGCGAGCGCCCAGAGGGGGCUCUGCCCUGGACACUAGGGGCUCCCGGGGGCUCGGGGCUGUGCCGCUGGCCAGGGUCAGAGUUAGCCUGCCUGGCCUUUCCCGACCAGCUGAGUUGAGAGACAGCAGAUCAGAGGAUUCCUUUUUUUUCUUUCUUUCUUUCUUUCUUUUUUUUUUGCUCACGCGAAUCUGGGAUUGUUUACGUUUGGUUCUCCGCUCUCACCCCUCGCCUGGCUCUCCUAGAUGCAAAAACCACGUUCCUGAAUUUUGCAUUAUGCAUUUUGAUGUACACCUUUUGCAUAUCUAUUGGAGAGUAGAUCUGAGUGUAUUUCAUGCAGCGUGUUUAAAUUGUGUAUGGACUCAGUACUUGUAGGCUUUUUUGUGGAGCUAUUAAAAAUAUAUAUCUAUAUCUGUAUUUUACUUUGUGAAUUAAUCUGUUGCUCAGAAUCUGACUUUUGCCAAACGUGCAAUUCCUUCCACUAUGGCAAAUUCUUUGAUUACAAGUGCUUUCAAAAAUCACCCACUCUUAACUUUUCCCCCUCGUCUCUUUGAAGUAGGGUAAAUAUGACAAUUUUUAUUGGUCUCAAUUAUUGAAACUUGAUCUAAGGACUGUGUGGAAGAAGGAGGCUGAUUGCCUUUUUCUGGCCUCCAGUUCUACUGACUUUUAAAAGGGGGGUUUGUUAAGUACCUUUGAAGAAUAUGACAUACAGUGAUCGCUUGGCUGUAAUGCAAAUUAUAGAACAUAAAUUCAGCUUGGAAUUAAAA
Molecule: long non-coding RNA, 823 nt
Filed under: Marmota monax (woodchuck)
Lineage: Eukaryota; Metazoa; Chordata; Mammalia; Rodentia; Sciuridae
Source: RNAcentral